RNAcentral lists this ribosomal RNA (487 nucleotides) under uncultured Eubacteriales bacterium. RNAcentral's name for it is "bacterial SSU rRNA". It matches the Rfam family "Bacterial small subunit ribosomal RNA", at positions 1 to 507 of the family's 1533-position model. The record is from RNAcentral. Lineage: Bacteria; Bacillati; Bacillota; Clostridia; Eubacteriales.
UAGAGUUUUCGAUCCUGCUCAGGCUAAAGCUGCGGCGCACAUAAGACAUAGCAAUCGAACGAACUUAACCUUAGUUUACUAUUGGAGCGGUUAGUGCGGACUGGUGAGUAACACGUAAGCAACCCUGCCCUAUCCUAAGAGGGGAACAACAGUUAGAAAUGACUGCUAAUACCGCAUAUACCUAAGUAACGCAUGUUACAAUGGAAAGAGCAAUCCGCUGAUAGAUGGCUUGCGUCUGAUUAGAUAGUUGUGGGGUAACGGCCUACCAAGUCGACGAUCAGUAGCCGGACUGAGAGGUUGAACGGCCACAUUGGGACUGAGAUAGGCCCAGACUCCUACGGGAGGCAGCAGUCGGGAAUAUUGCGCAAUGGAGGAAACUCUGACGCAGUGACGCCGCGUGCAGGGAGAAGGUUUUCGGAUUGUAAACUGCUUUAGACAGGGAAGAUACAAGACAGUACCUGUAAAAUAAGCUCCGGCUAACUACGUG